GCGGGUGUGGCGAAACUGGCAGACGCGCUAGACUUAGGAUCUAGUUCCUAGGAGUGCAGGUUCGACUCCUGUCACCCGCACCA
Molecule: transfer RNA, 83 nt
Filed under: Acholeplasmataceae bacterium
Lineage: Bacteria; Bacillati; Mycoplasmatota; Mollicutes; Acholeplasmatales; Acholeplasmataceae
Also listed under: 1 other name
Description: tRNA-Leu
Rfam family: tRNA
About the family: Transfer RNA (tRNA) molecules are approximately 80 nucleotides in length. Their secondary structure includes four short double-helical elements and three loops (D, anti-codon, and T loops).
Source: RNAcentral